RNAcentral lists this ribosomal RNA (420 nucleotides) under uncultured eukaryote. RNAcentral's name for it is "SSU rRNA". It matches the Rfam family "Eukaryotic small subunit ribosomal RNA", at positions 592 to 1018 of the family's 1831-position model. The record is from RNAcentral.
CAAUAGCGUAUAUUAAAGUUGUUGCAGUUAAAAGCUCGUAGUUGGAUCUCAGGUCCAGGCUUGCGGUCCACCUUGCGGUGGUUACUGCUCGUCCUGACCUACCUCCUGGUUUUCCCUUGGUGCUCUUGACUGAGUGUCUCGGGUGGCCAGAACGUUUACUUUGAAAAAUUAGAGUGUUCAAAGCAGGCAAUUCGCCUGAAUAAUGGUGCAUGGAAUAAUGGAAUAGGACCUCGGUUCUAUUUUGUUGGUUUUCGGAACUUGAGGUAAUGAUUAAGAGGGACAGACGGGGGCAUUCGUAUUACGGUGUUAGAGGUGAAAUUCUUGGAUCGCCGUAAGACGAACUACUGCGAAAGCAUUUGCCAAGAAUGUUUUCAUUAAUCAAGAACGAAAGUCAGAGGUUCGAAGACGAUCAGAUACCAU